This is an RNA transcript of Tribolium castaneum (red flour beetle), 797 nucleotides long. RefSeq lists it as uncharacterized. Lineage: Eukaryota; Metazoa; Arthropoda; Insecta; Coleoptera; Tenebrionidae. The transcript has 4 exons. The record is from RefSeq and is a predicted model, not a curated record.
CAUUUAUAAACGUUGGAUGCAAUUAAAAAAAUCCAGACCGACAAUGAGUGCAGUAAUGACACUUUUCAUUGCCACCAUAAUAAUGUUUUACGUGGCGCAAGAUUACAACCAGUGGAUCCCCUAUUCGGGCGCUGGGGGCGGCGCCGGCGGCGGCGUCGGGGGCGGUAUCGGAUUCGGGUUUAAUGCAGGUGCCGGUGCUGGAUACGGGAUUGGGGCAAGAGGCGGUGAACAAACAUAAUGUAAUAUAAAACGGAAAUGGAAAAAAUGUAUUAAAUAAAAUCACACUUCCGCAUUGUGUGCAAUUUGUUUAUUUUACGACCAAUUUGUUUUAUUGUUAACUGUUUGUAUAAAAUCGGCGAAAAUGUGGCGGUUUGGAAGUGUUUUUAAAAGUGUGAUAGACGAUGAAGGUGCUUCUAGUCGUAAUUUUAGCGUUUUUUGUUCUUAGUUGUACUGCAUUUCCGCACCUUGAUCUUGAAAAUAGAAGGGCGGUAAUGGCUCGUAUGAGUCAGGCUAUGAAAAAAGGCGCUAGUUGUUUUGGUUUUACGAUAAACGUUUCGUUCUCAACUGCUGCUCCAGCAACCACUGCCGCAAGCGGUUAAUAAAAAGAACUAAAAAAAGCUACCAUAUAUGAUAAUAAGUCUUUUUUUUGAUAGUUUGUGAUUCAUCUUUAAAAAGCUGAAAAUUGUAGAAAAUUUGUUUUCCCAAUUUUUUAUUAUUAUUUUGUUAUGGAAUCAGAUUUUUGAACAAAACUGUCUUAUCACUAUAGUUUAAAUAAAGAAAACUUAAAAAAUAGUGAA